RNAcentral lists this long non-coding RNA (891 nucleotides) under Setaria italica (foxtail millet). RNAcentral describes it as "long non-coding RNA (SITA_LNC001301)". Lineage: Eukaryota; Viridiplantae; Streptophyta; Magnoliopsida; Poales; Poaceae. The record is from RNAcentral.
ACCGACUCACCGUGUCACAAAAUGAGUUUAAAAUCUGGCAGGCUUUUUACGGGAGUGUAUUGUGAUCCUUUACAUGUACCCUUUUUUUUCAACAUAACCCUUUUGCCACAUAUACAUUUUUCCAUAUCGAUGAACCUCCUGAACUUAACUCUUCAAAUGUCAUCAUCAUCCCAUUAAGAGCAUUUGAGUCAUCUGCUGAGCAAACAAGAAUUUUAAAUCUGUUCCAAUGUCCUGAUCGUUUUCCAAAAUAAAUGAAAACUGUAUAAGUACAAACAAAAGGGUAUCAAGUUUACCACAACAUCUCAAUCCGCAUGCAGGUCUGAGCAUCACAUUUUUCCACACCGGCACAUCGUCGGCACAUCGCACACCUCCAUAGCAAGACCUUCUAAAAAAUUGAUGACCUAGCCAACCCUGCAUCUAGCGAUGGGAAUGCACCUGGGACCAUGCUCAGUCUCACUCUGCAUCACAGUUUAACAUGAGCAUUUUAUCAAAUAAGCGUUGAUAAAAUUAAAAAUGUGUCUAGGUGAGGAAAAUAAUCGUGGUGCCAUGAAUCCAUAGACACCAUAAAGAAGGCAAAGAGUGUGCCAGAACAAAAUAACCAAGUGGAUGGUUUUCGCUAAAGAUGGAAAGCAGCCAAAUUGAAGAGAGAAAUAAAAGAGGAUUUUGCAAACCUUGCGUUCGUGGCCUCCCACCUGACGAAAGGAAGCUGGGCAAGCCUGCUUGUGGUAGAACGUCCGCCACUCACUACGGCUCCACGUCGGUGUUCCGGUGGUCGAAGAAUUUGCACUCCAGCGGAAGCAGCGGGUCGGGUGCGUUGGCAUGGCUGCGAUAUGAUGGGGUAGGGCAUGUGCGCGAGGCCAGCGGCGUCGUGAACGCGACUGUGCCGCAAGC